UUUCUAUGGAGAGUUUGAUCCUGGCUCAGGACGAACGCUGGCGGCGUGCCUAAUACAUGCAAGUCGAGCGGACGAUUCGAAAGCUUGCUUUUGAAUCGUUAGCGGCGGACGGGUGAGUAACACGUGGGCAACCUGCCCUGUAGACGGGGAUAACACCGAGAAAUCGGUGCUAAUACCGGAUAACACGAAAUGUCGCAUGACGUUUCGUUGAAAGGCGGCGCAAGCUGCCGCUACAGGAUGGGC
Molecule: ribosomal RNA, 243 nt
Filed under: Anoxybacillus pushchinoensis
Lineage: Bacteria; Bacillati; Bacillota; Bacilli; Caryophanales; Anoxybacillaceae
Description: 16S rRNA. Bacterial SSU
Rfam family: Bacterial small subunit ribosomal RNA
Source: RNAcentral